AAAACAUUCACAUAUUUAUUCUCGUAUACAUAUGCUGAUAUUUCCAGUAAGUUUUUAAUAUUCUUGCAGUUAUUACCAGUCAGACAAUACUCAUUUUUUGUCGACAAUAAUUAUUGACUUUGGAUCAGAUCAAUUUCGAUUGAAAAAAUGUCAAAGAUUAUAUUUGGAUUUAUUGCCCUUCUCGUUAUUAUUGCAAUGAUGCAAGUCACUGCCGAAGCCGGCUCGGGCAGAAGUCUACCGCCGGAGUGUUUUUGCAGUCCCAAUGGAGUAUUGUGCUCAAGUUCUGGAGAGUGCUGUUCAGGAAACUGCAUCACGUAUGAGAUUGCACGUGAAAUAAAUGACGACCCGUCGGAACAGGACCCUGGAAUAUCCUAUGUUACUCGAUGUGGGAUAAGAAGGAGUAAACAUACCACGUCUAGUCCCACCUAGUAUUAUGGUCGAAUAAUAGGGCGCCACUGGAAGAUGGACUCGGCCUUUUAGAACCGGAUGUUAAGUUAAUUUUUAUUUAGAAAUCAGGGUUGUUGUAAAUUUUAUUUUUGUGAGAGAGGAGAGGAAUAAUGAACAGGCCGGAAUAAAUCUAUUUAAAAAACGU
Molecule: long non-coding RNA, 592 nt
Organism: Microplitis mediator
Lineage: Eukaryota; Metazoa; Arthropoda; Insecta; Hymenoptera; Braconidae
Exons: 3
Source: RefSeq, a predicted model, not a curated record